This 361-nucleotide ribosomal RNA is filed under the name Falkocholeva falklandica. RNAcentral's name for it is "partial 16S ribosomal RNA". Lineage: Eukaryota; Metazoa; Arthropoda; Insecta; Coleoptera; Leiodidae. The record is from RNAcentral.
GUACAAAGGUAGCAUAAUAAUUUGUCCUUUAAUUAGGGACUAGAAUGAAUGAUUGAACGAGAUAAUAACUGUCUCUAUUUAAAUUAUAGAAUUUUAUUUUUAAGUUAAAAAGCUUAAAUAUAUUUAAAAGACGAGAAGACCCUAUAGAGUUUUAUAAUUUAAUUUAUAAUUGAUAUUUAGAAAUAAUAUUUAUUUAUUUUAAAUUAUUUUAUUGGGGUGAUAAAAAAAUUUAAUUAACUUUUUUUUUUUAUUUACAUAAAUAAAUGAAUAAUUGAUCCAAUUUUUUUGAUUAUAAGAAAAAAUUACCUUAGGGAUAACAGCGUAAUUUUUUUAUAGAGUUCUUAUCGAAAAAAAAGAUUGC